Molecule: long non-coding RNA, 395 nt
Organism: Piliocolobus tephrosceles (Ugandan red Colobus)
Lineage: Eukaryota; Metazoa; Chordata; Mammalia; Primates; Cercopithecidae
Exons: 2
Source: RefSeq, a predicted model, not a curated record
GAGUUUGAAAUUCUUGCUUCAGGCCAUAUGGAGUGGAUAUUCCUUCCAGAAGGAAAUUACAGACCACUCUCUGUUUCUACUCAACUGCUUUUCAAUCCAGGAUGCUUCACCUCCUGGGGCCUUCCCAGCGGAGUCCCAGAUCACUGGCAAAAGGUUUCCCCAAGGGUGGGGCCGGAAGCAGGGCUGUAGGUAUGUGUCCUGAACCUCCCACAGACCCUGCUGGCUCCCUUCAAAGGCUUCCGGCAUAGCGACUUGCCUUUCCAUCAUGUUCAGUCGUCACCAAUCAGCCGUCUGCAGACUCUUCUCCCUCAUGUUGUGGCAGAGGAGUUGUACAUUCUCUAGAUUUUAAAAAUAUAUAGGUUACUUGUUCUUUAAAAAAAAAGUCUCUGAAAUAA